RNAcentral lists this ribosomal RNA (486 nucleotides) under uncultured bacterium. Its description in RNAcentral is "partial 16S ribosomal RNA". It matches the Rfam family "Bacterial small subunit ribosomal RNA", at positions 30 to 507 of the family's 1533-position model. The record is from RNAcentral.
AUUGAACGCUGGCGGCAUGCCUUACACAUGCAAGUCGAACGGCAGCACGGGUGCUUUCGCUUGGUUGCUAGUGGCUGGCGGAUGAGUAAUAAAUCGGAACAUGUCCGGCAGUGGGGGAUAGCCCGGCGAAAGCCGGAUUAAUACCUCAUACGAUCCACGGAUGAAAGCGGGGGACGUUCGUGCCGCGCGCUUGACGUUUGGCGUAUGGCGGAUUAGCUAGUUGGUGGGGUAAAGGCCUACCAAGGCGACGAUCAGUAGCUGGUCUGAGAGGACGACCAGCCACACUGGAACUGAGACACGGCCCAGACUCCUACGGGAGGCAGCAGUGGGGAAUUUUGGACAAUGGGCGAAAGCCUGAUCCAGCCAUGCCGCGUGUAUGAAGAAGGCCUUCGGGUUGUAAAGCACUUUUGUCCGGAAAGAAAUCCUUGACUCUAAUACAGUCGGGGGAUGACGUUACCGGAAGAAUAAGCACCGGCUAACUACGUG